AACGCGAAGAACCUUACCAAGUCUUGACAUCCCAAUGACCGGAACUUAACCGUUCCUUCCCUUCGGGGCAUCGGAGACAGGUGGUGCAUGGUUGUCGUCAGCUCGUGUCGUGAGAUGUUGGGUUAAGUCCCGCAACGAGCGCAACCCUUAUCCUUAGUAGCCAGCAAGUAGUGUUGGGCACUCUAGGGAGACUGCCAGGGAUAACCUGGAGGAAGGUGGGGAUGACGUCAAAUCAUCAUGCCCCUUAUGAUUUGGGCUACACACGUGCUACAAUGGCGUAAACAAAGAGAAGCAAGACCGCGAGGUGGAGCAAAUCUCAAAAAUAACGUCUCAGUUCGGAUUGCAGGCUGCAACUCGCCUGCAUGAAGCUGGAAUCGCUAGUAAUCGCGAAUCAGAAUGUCGCGGUGAAUACGUUCCCGGGUCUUGUACACACCG
This 435-nucleotide ribosomal RNA is filed under the name uncultured bacterium. RNAcentral's name for it is "bacterial SSU rRNA". It matches the Rfam family "Bacterial small subunit ribosomal RNA", at positions 958 to 1392 of the family's 1533-position model. The record is from RNAcentral.